AGAGAGAGAGAGAGUGGGGAAGGAAACAGAGACACACUCCAGUAAAAGGGUAUUUUCAGCAUAACUUUCCCCCACAAACCCGCGUGAGUUACCACAGCGAGCAGGAUGCAGUUCAUGGCCUGACCUGAUGGUAGAGCGGAGAAUGGGAAGCGGCGACCUGACAAGAGCUGAGAUGAUUGAGCUGGAUAAAGAAGGACCAGAGCAAAGAUAAAUGCCCGCCAUAUGCGCGCACCCGCGCGACCUGUUCGUCAGACACAGCAACAUGCGCGUUACCUGUCAGACACAGAGACGUGGGCUUGCAGAAAUAUACGUUUGAAGAACAGAAGGAAGAAAACUUGUUGAUGGGCGUGUGGUUCACUGUUUACUGUUUGUUUACAAGUAAGAGCUUUUCACAACACACACGUGACACAACACGAGAAAACAUGAGCUUUGUUCAAAAAUGUGUAUUUCAUUUAAGAGAGCACUGCAGAUGUUCUAGAUCAUCUUAGGAAAUGCUCUGAGUUUAGUUCAUGAUUUAGUUUGACAUGGUCUAUUAUUCUGAAUAUGUUGUGUAAACUUGACAUCAGGACUAGAUGAAAUUUACAGAAAUGCUUAUCUCUUCUGUGUUUGUCUAUUCUUUAGUCUCUCUAGUAUAUUGCAAAGAUAUGUGCUUAUGAUAAUUAAAAAUAUUGAUAAAAAUGUAAUAUUAAAAUAUU
This is a long non-coding RNA of Triplophysa rosa, 695 nucleotides long. RefSeq lists it as uncharacterized. The transcript is spliced from 3 exons. The record is from RefSeq and is a predicted model, not a curated record. Lineage: Eukaryota; Metazoa; Chordata; Actinopteri; Cypriniformes; Nemacheilidae.